UCCUACGGGCGGCUGCAGUGAGGAAUCUUGCGCAAUGGGGGAAACCCUGACGCAGCCAUGCCGCGUGAGUGAAGAAGGCUUUCGGGUCGUAAAGCUCUGUCAGGUGGGAAGAACCCUCAAGGGACGAAUAAUCCUUUGAGCUGACGGUACCACCAAAGGAAGCACCGGCUAACUCCGUGCCAGCAGCCGCGGUAAUACGGAGGGUGCAAGCGUUGUUCGGAAUUACUGGGCGUAAAGCGUGUGCAGGCGGCCAAAUAAGUCGGAUGUGAAAGCCCUCGGCUCAACCGGGGAACUGCAUUCGAUACUGUUUGGCUUGAGUCCUGGAGAGGAGAGUGGAAUUCCCGGUGUAGAGGUGAAAUUCGUAGAUAUCGGGAGGAACAUCGGUGGCGAAGGCGACUCUCUGGACAGUGACUGACGCUGAUACACGAAAGCGUGGGGAGCAAACAGGAUUAGAUACCCCUGUAGUCUC
RNAcentral lists this ribosomal RNA (469 nucleotides) under uncultured Desulfarculus sp. RNAcentral describes it as "bacterial SSU rRNA". It matches the Rfam family "Bacterial small subunit ribosomal RNA", at positions 337 to 797 of the family's 1533-position model. Lineage: Bacteria; Pseudomonadati; Thermodesulfobacteriota; Desulfarculia; Desulfarculales; Desulfarculaceae. The record is from RNAcentral.